CUGGGGCUUGAACUCAGGGCCUGAGCACUGUCCAUUAGUUAUGUCCCUGAAGGCUGGUAAUCUUGGCAUUUGAGCCACAGCUCCACUUCUGACAUUUUUCUGGUUAAUUGGAGAUAACAGUCACACAGACUUUUCUUCUCAUAUGAUUUCAAAUUGUGAUCC
This is a long non-coding RNA of Perognathus longimembris pacificus (Pacific pocket mouse), 162 nucleotides long. RefSeq lists it as uncharacterized. The record is from RefSeq and is a predicted model, not a curated record. NCBI's taxonomy places the organism in Eukaryota, Metazoa, Chordata, Mammalia, Rodentia, Heteromyidae. The transcript is spliced from 3 exons.